RNAcentral lists this ribosomal RNA (116 nucleotides) under Pseudomonas syringae pv. actinidiae. Lineage: Bacteria; Pseudomonadati; Pseudomonadota; Gammaproteobacteria; Pseudomonadales; Pseudomonadaceae. The record is from RNAcentral.
CUUGACGACCAUAGAACAUUGGAACCACCUGAUCCCAUCCCGAACUCAGCAGUGAAACGAUGUAUAGCCGAUGGUAGUGUGGGGUUUCCCCAUGUGAGAGUAGGUCAUCGUCAAGA